RNAcentral lists this unclassified non-coding RNA (218 nucleotides) under Hevea brasiliensis (rubber tree). Lineage: Eukaryota; Viridiplantae; Streptophyta; Magnoliopsida; Malpighiales; Euphorbiaceae. The record is from RNAcentral.
AAAUUCUUCAUUCAAGGAUUGAAUAGCUACAAAUAGCUGUCAUAAUUUUCAGUAGGAGCGCUAAUGGCACAAUUUAUACAUCUAUGAACCCUAAUCAAGACAAUAGAUAAAACACAACCGCUAAUCAAGACAAUUGAUAAAACAACCCUAAGACUGAUUAAGAGCUGGUAAAUUUGGUAACAGCCUUUGUACCCUCAGAUACAGCAUGCUUAGCCAAU